This 65-nucleotide transfer RNA is filed under the name Nipponoluciola cruciata (Japanese firefly). RNAcentral describes it as "Luciola cruciata (Japanese firefly) tRNA-Asn". The record is from RNAcentral. Lineage: Eukaryota; Metazoa; Arthropoda; Insecta; Coleoptera; Lampyridae.
UUAAAUGAAACCAAAAAGAGGUUUAUCACUGUUAAUGAUAUAAAUGAAUAAAAAUUCCAUUUAAA